GAUGAAGAACGCAGCGAAAUGCGAUAAGUAAUGUGAAUUGCAGAAUUCAGUGAAUCAUCGAAUCUUUGAACGCACAUUGCGCCCGCCAGAAUACUGGCGGGCAUGCCUGUUCGAGCGUCAUUUCAACCAUCAAGCCCCCGGGCUUGUGUUGGGGACCUGCGGCUGCCGCAGGCCCUGAAAACCAGUGGCGGGCUCGCUAGUCACUCCGAGCGUAGUAGUUACAUCUCGCUCAGGGCGUGCUGCGGGUUCCGGCCGUUAAAAGCCUUUUACCCCAAGGUUGACCUCGGAUCAGGUAGGAAGACCCGCUGAACUUAAGCAUAUCAAUAAGCGGAGGA
This 335-nucleotide unclassified non-coding RNA is filed under the name soil metagenome. Its description in RNAcentral is "partial contains 5.8S ribosomal RNA, internal transcribed spacer 2, and large subunit ribosomal RNA". The stretch from base 1 to 120 matches the Rfam family "5.8S ribosomal RNA", at positions 35 to 154 of the family's 154-position model. The record is from RNAcentral.